Molecule: long non-coding RNA, 1748 nt
Filed under: Pan paniscus (pygmy chimpanzee)
Lineage: Eukaryota; Metazoa; Chordata; Mammalia; Primates; Hominidae
Description: lncRNA (ENSPPAG00000044202.1)
Source: RNAcentral
AUGAAGACCCCAUGCACAACCACAGAAGGCACCAGCUUGUAUGUCCCUGUUUGCUUCAGGCGUCGCCCCCGCAAGUCUGCAGAGAUCACUGCCCUCUGCUUUGCCUUCCAGGUGCAAGAUGUUGUGGGUAUUCUUUUGGCGCCGCUUCCCUUCCCCACCAACUUCUCGCCCUCUACUCCUCCCCACCCCAGCACAGGCAGCCGCUCCAGGGCAAGUCUAUGCAGGCUCCACACACUGAUUCUGACCUGCAUAAAUGGACUCUGCCCGGGGCACCCAUGUCCAAACCAGCCCAGGUGCCCGAAGCACCGGCACCGGUACGAGCCAGGGCGGCUGCAAUGCUCCCAAGUGCCCAGUGCUGGGGGUUGGGGGUGCCACGGCUUGGGAGGCUGCCCAGAGGGCGGAAGGGUCCUCUGCAGAGCUCUGCACGCCUGUCGGCCGACGGGGACUCUGCACGGCGGGCUGCGUCACGGCCGCCUCAUCGGCUGGCAGCGCAGGAAACCCCGUCACCUUCUCGAGGUAGGGACAGUCCUGCCGCCAGCCGUUCCUGCGAUCCCAGGGUCUCUGCAGUUACACCUGGUUCCAGCCGGGGGCGCCGCGCCGCACCGCUCCUGCGGAGGAGCCAGGCGCCCUUCACAGGCGCGGCCUCACCCGCUUUACUUGUCAGGUGUGAGUCGCCCCACGUGCACCCGAACGCGGUCAGGUCCACCCAGGAAGCCGGAGCAGGACUUUGGGCAGCGAGCUCGCUGUGAGUUAGAGAGCAGAGGGACAUCUGUGGCUAAGGAAUUCGCUGCAUGGAUGAAGACCCAAGCAAAGGAGCUAGAACCAAAUGGACGCUGUGCUGCUCAGCCCACCCCAGGCAGGGCAGGGAGGACAGACACUAGAGAGGCUCCCGGGAGCUCCCUGGCUGUAACUGAAAUAUCACGUGGGUGAACAAAGGGAGAAAUGUCGAUGGCAGCUGUGUUGACCCUUUACAACAUGCAGUGGAUUCUGCCAGAUCCCACCAACAAUCAUGCUUUCUACAGUAACCAAGUGCUGCAUCCAAUCAUGGCAAUGAAAAACAGUUCUCCUAACUUGUAAAUACUUUGAUUUGAAAAAAUGGAGUUUCAAAUCAUCCUUUUUAUUUCUAUGAAGAUUUUAAUCCACCUGCAGAAAAAAAAAGAAUGUUGAUGUUAUCUUGUCCAAAUACAAACAUGACUUUGCCCAUCUGUCUGCCUAUUUGGCAGACCGUGCAAAUGUAAAUUUUUGCAAAUUCCAUGCAGUCUAUGAAUGCUUUACCAAAGAAAAGUUAAAAAUAUUAGCCACGAAGUGUCCUGCACAUUUUGUACACAUCAGUAAAAGGGGGUGGAGUUUGCUUCCCUGCGAUAUUGAUGCUUUCAAAAUGAAAGCUUUUAUUUACUUUUCAGUUUCCUCAAAGCAUGAAAAAGCACUUAAUGAGAUUUUUCACAUUCCAGAAAUGGAAGGAGAUGGCCUCCUUUGGACAUGUGCCUACACAAGGGCUGUCACUGUUGCCAGGGUAAAAAGGCAGCCUGCCAUACAACCAUAUUUUCAAAGCAUGGGACAAGAAGAAUGUCCUUGUCUUAAUAUAUUUGGAAAUAUAUUAAGAAUGAAAAUAGAGAAAAAGAUUACGGUUAAACAGUCAGACUGAAAUUUAUAAGUUGUUCCUCCAAAACUGCCUGAUGAUCUUUGAGGAGCCCAUAAGGGCUCUGGAAAAGCAUGAACUGACUGUCCCUGAGUUGUCGAUGUUAUAG